ACUCCAAGGGACUUCUCUUCACAUAAUUUUGCUUUUUCACUUCAGGUCUUUUCUCCAUUCUGUAAAGUAAGGAAAUGGUCUGUGUCAAUCCAGGUAGAUCAGGUUAUGCUGCGGUAACAAAUGAUCCCCAAAUCUCAAUGGCUUUAAAAAAAUGAAGACUUAUUUCUCACUCAUUCUGUGUAUCCUUGCAGGAUCUGCUGCAGCUCUGCUACAUGACAUCUGCAUCCUGGGACCCAGAGUGACGGAACAGCUUCACACAGGAACAUUACCAGUUGUCCUGGCAGGAAGAAAAGGGAGAAGUUUCUGCUUGAAGAGCACCUGAUUUAUACUCUGCAGACUGGUUCCAUGCCAAGUUUUCUCCAUCUCAGGAAAUGCCACCAGCAUCCACCCAAAUCUAAGAGCCACGGAGUCCAGGGACCAGAACUUUCCCCAGAGCCUACACAGGGACUGGAUUGUAAUAUACUCCAUAAAGGCUGAUCCUAUGCAGGGCCCCGGUUCUCAGAUUUGGCAGGUUCCAGGGCAUGGCCCAGACACCAGGAGUUUUAAAUGCUCCCGGGUGGUUUGAAUGGACACUGAGGUGGAGGACCACUGAAGUACAGCAACUGUGAAUAAAGAGCUGCUCUAGAACAUUUGUGUCUACGCUCCUGAGGAUACCUAGCAUUCAGGGCUGAAAUACCCAGGUGAUGACCAACCCCCGAGGGGCAGCCCCUGUUGUAAGACAGUGACCAGGGCUGGGGGCUCGGAGACUGUGACCUGUAAGGAUUCAGGAACAGACUCUGUGCUGUGUAUUUGCUGUCGAGUGUGCUCACUCUCCAAGCCUUGUUAGCUGAGGUUUUGUGACACCGAAGAACCCUCUGAUGAGAAAUCGGAGGACUGACUAGUUGUGGGAAGUUUAUGGCAUGAAAACGAAGUUUUAAAAGAAAAGCCAUCUCUAGCUGAUGUCCCAGGUGAAUGUUUAAGUGUCUUUAAAGAUGUCUGUACAAAUCUACUCAAAGAAACUUUGUGUGCUUCACUGAGAACAUGGAAUUCAGGAAUGUUAGAGCAGUAAGGGACCUCCUCACUUCCGGGAUAACCUUGGCCUACUUAUUGCAGUUAAAAGACAGGAGACGUUCACAAGGUGGACUAACGCUGUAUCAUAAAUAUGGUGUCUUUACUUACUGGGUGUUCUGUUUGAGAGCCGUCUUUAGAAAACUUAUGUACAGAUAAAUAAUUUAAAACUAAGUUAUGGUCUUUCCUAUAAAGAGUUGGUCAUCAUGUCCAAAUAUUACCUUAGGUCUAUGGGAAAGUUAGCUUCAGUUUCAUCCUCAUAGAGGCUCUGGCAGCUCUUCAGUGCCGUGAGACACCAGGGCCGAAGGUGGUUUGGGGGUGUUCGUAGAGAGGACUGGUCUUGGACCCACUGAGAGGCCUCAGAUUAGGGAAAAGCGACUCUUUUUGUGAGCUCCAAACAAAGGCCUUCUUUCUUUAUGGCCAGUCAGUCCUAUUAGCGAAGGAGAACACAGUGAUUGUAGGUUCACUGUGACUGAAAAAAGAACUAAUUAAUUUUGCAUUGAUGACAUUCAGAUUAGUCAUCUUAGUUAAAAAACUCCUUUUCAAAAUUCUCUAAAAAUGAAUGCCCGCUAGUAUUUUGGGAUCUCUUCAAAAAAAAAAAAAUUCCUUAACUUUUAUCCCAUAAAAACUGUAGUCAAAUUUCAGCUCCCGGUGUGCCCUACUUCUAGGACUUUGCUAGAGUCAAGCAGUUGUCUUCAAGACUGGCCACGAGAAUUCUGCCUCUGGUGACAGGGAGGAAGCACCGUGUGUGACUCUGGGGGUGGGGGUGUGUGUCCUGAGGGAGUCGUCUUUCUUUUCACCUUCCUGAUCCUUUCUAGACUCAAGAAGACGAUGGGCUCAGUGCUUCCGGAGUCAAUAUUUCCAAAAGCAGCCGGGGCAGCAAAAUCUGUACGUAAGUGGCUGUAAGAUAGUGAGUGGCUGACGGCAGUCUCGAGGAAGCCCAGCUCUCAGGCCACGGAGGCUGUGUCUCCCCACUUGAGGUGGCGCACGAUGAAAGUCCCCAGGGCCCCCAGGGGGAUGCACAUGGUAGAGGAGGCCACGAGCAGCCCAAUGAUGGCCAGUGCAUACGGGGGGUAGUCCUUGGUCACAAGCUGGCCCUGAAGAAGGAACCUGAGUGUCAGAAGAAAGAACCUCCCGUGCGGAGCCUUCUGAGGGCACCACCCCUCCGGGCCUCAGGCCCUCCAGCGGGAGGAAGAGAGCAUCCUUACACCCGGGGCUGCCCCAGCUCUGCGUGCAGGUCACUAGUGGCUCUGCUGGGCACACUAACUCCCCCUGUGCAUACUGUUUGGAGCUACCUGGAAAGAGCAACCAUGAGAAUAAUCCAAGGCUUAUGUUCAAGACAGCAGCAGGGCACCUAAAUGUAGGGGCUACCCUUGCCCAGUGCUGUCCAAUACAGCAGCCACCAGGCACAGGUGGCCAUUGAGCACUGGGAAUGUGGCCGGUGAUGCUCAAGAAAUGAAUUUUAAAUUUUGUUUAAUUUUAAUGAGUUAAAUUUCAAUAGCCAUAUGUGGUUAUUAGUGUCUGUGUCCAGCAGCACAACUCUCAUCUCAGGAGAAGUGUUGAUGGACCUCAGGACUUAGCUGGAAGAAUGAUGGAUGUUUCCCUAGAUGCAAAACUGAUGAGAAACCAGUUGAGGCCCAAAAGCCAAUAAAUGCUAUGCUACCUUUCCACAAAGGAACCAGAGAAAGCUAAGUUCAGGGAGCAGGUACUUGCUGUCAACCAAAGCACGUACGGUUUGUAAACCAAAAUGCCACACGGAGUGUGGCCGCGGGAACCAGCCCACAGACUUCUGUUGCUCAUCUGUUACUCUUUGUGUUCUGUGUAUGAGUACAGGAAUUGGGAGGAAACAUAAAUGAUUUUAGCAGUUUGACAGCAUAAUCCUGUGUCUGCUGAAUCCGAUACAUAUUUGGUGCUUGUAUUGCUCUACCUUUUUUUUUUUUUUUUUAAAGGAAUUCACUGUUAAUUGCAUUUUCCAAAAGUAUCAGGGUGCACGGACUGGAGGAAACACCCUGCUCCUCCACUGUGGGGUGGGAAGCCCUGCUCGGCACCACUGCCAGAACCAGACAUGGGGGCACCUUCCCAGCCAUGGUGCAGCGUGGAGUGUGUGGACUGGAGCACGGGCCCUGUGCACCCUGUCUGCACACUCCACACACACCAUACGCUAAGGGGCAGCAUCUUCUACCCACAGGGAAAGAAAUCCAAAUUGGUCAGUUGUAUUAAUUUCCUUAAAAAGUAAAUUUUUUAUGAGAGUGUGUCUGUGCAAGGACAGCCAAGGCUGAUCCUCAGGCCCGGGGCAGUGAUACAGCUGUCCAGGUUGUUAAAACACUGAUGUGCUGCCCUCUGCUGGGUGAGCAGAUGCAGCCCAGCCUCCUGAGUGCCCCCCUCAGUCCCCCAUUCUGUCCUAGCAACUCCAGUGUAAACGCCAGUCCCUGCCCCACCUAGCUCCUCAGGGGCCAUGCCCUCCAGCCUUGCUUGGCCUUUUUCCUGAGUGGCCUCAGUGGAUAGAGGCCACCAGGAAGUUCUGGACGGAAUCUCACUCUCUUCACUGCAGCCCAUGUUGAAAAACUCACAGCCCAGCUCCGCUGUCCUGGGCUGAGUAUUUUUACAUACCUGGGUGAUGUUUCCACGUUGUGACAAAUAACCUACCCCCACCCUGGAGAGAGUUCCUUGGUUCCAGAAAACUAGAGGCCCGUGCUCGUGAGCGAGCCUGGGGCCUUAGAUGGCAGAUACCUGGGAGGCGUCCCAGGCUUGGUACUGCAGGGUCCCCGUGACGAUGUAGUCACUCAGGUAGAAGACAAAGAGGCUGAUGAUGAGCAGCGGGCUCACACCGCCCCACAUGGCCUUCCAGUACCAGUUCAGAGCGUGUCCAGUCAUAGC
Molecule: long non-coding RNA, 3924 nt
Organism: Mesoplodon densirostris (Blainville's beaked whale)
Lineage: Eukaryota; Metazoa; Chordata; Mammalia; Artiodactyla; Ziphiidae
Exons: 5
Source: RefSeq, a predicted model, not a curated record